This 527-nucleotide ribosomal RNA is filed under the name uncultured bacterium. RNAcentral's name for it is "bacterial SSU rRNA". It matches the Rfam family "Bacterial small subunit ribosomal RNA", at positions 141 to 685 of the family's 1533-position model. The record is from RNAcentral.
GGAUAGGCCGAUGAAAGUUGGAUUAAUACCGCAUAUAGCUAUAUAGUUGCAUGAUUAUGUAGUGAAAGAUUUAUUGGUAUAGGAGGAGUCUGCGGCACAUUAGCUAGUAGGUGAGGUAAAGGCUUACCUAGGCGACGAUGUGUAGCCGGUCUGAGAGGAUGAACGGCCACAAUGGAACUGAGACACGGUCCAUACUCCUACGGGAGGCAGCAGUGGGGAAUAUUGCACAAUGGGGGAAACCCUGAUGCAGCAACGCCGCGUGAGUGAAGAAGGUUUUCGGAUUGUAAAGCUCUGUUAGCAGGGAAGAGGAAGGACGGUACCUGCAGAGGAAGCCACGGCUAACUACGUGCCAGCAGCCGCGGUAAUACGUAGGUGGCAAGCGUUGUUCGGAAUAACUGGGCGUAAAGGAUGCGUAGGCGGUUAAACAAGUUAUAUGUUAAAUAUAUAGGCUUAACCUGUAGAAAGCAUAUAAAACUGUUUAACUAGAGUGCAGGAGAGGUAAGUGGAAUUCCUAGUGUAGCGGUGAA